ACCGUUAUGUUACUGUUCAAAGGCUUUAAUCAAACACAGUUAAUUGUUUCAGAAGUUCUACACCAAUUUUUUUGUCUGUAAUAAUUCUUUUUCUCCCCUCCCUUUACGAACCGCAAACAACCAAAGUAUAAUAUAUAGGCCUAUAUUUGGUUGGUAGAAUACCAUGGCGAUCAAUGCUCAGAGGACCCAGUCUGAGGACCUACUCAUCACC
RNAcentral lists this long non-coding RNA (211 nucleotides) under Elaeis guineensis (African oil palm). Its description in RNAcentral is "long non-coding RNA (EGUI_LNC048820)". The record is from RNAcentral. Lineage: Eukaryota; Viridiplantae; Streptophyta; Magnoliopsida; Arecales; Arecaceae.